CAGUAGCCGCGGUAAUACGAAGGGGGCUAGCGUUGUUCGGAUUAACUGGGCGUAAAGGGCGCGUAGGCGGGUUUUUAAGUCAGAGGUGAGAUCCCAAGGCUCAACCUUGGAACUGCCUUUGAUACUGGAAGUCUUGAGUCCGGGAGAGGUGAGUGGAACUGCGAGUGUAGAGGUGAAAUUCGUAGAUAUUCGCAAGAACACCAGUGGCGAAGGCGGCUCACUGGCCCGGUACUGACGCUGAGGCGCGAAAGCGUGGGGAGCAAACAGGAUUAGAUACCCGCGUAGUCCCUGUCUCUUAUAC
This 301-nucleotide ribosomal RNA is filed under the name uncultured bacterium. Its description in RNAcentral is "partial 16S ribosomal RNA". It matches the Rfam family "Bacterial small subunit ribosomal RNA", at positions 509 to 807 of the family's 1533-position model. The record is from RNAcentral.